Molecule: long non-coding RNA, 261 nt
Filed under: Actinidia chinensis (golden kiwifruit)
Lineage: Eukaryota; Viridiplantae; Streptophyta; Magnoliopsida; Ericales; Actinidiaceae
Description: long non-coding RNA (ACHI_LNC003288)
Source: RNAcentral
UCCACCAUUAGUCCAUUUUUAAUCGGCGUAGUUUUGAGUUUGUUGAUUAGUUGUACAAAAUAAGGAUUCACAACCCAAUUAAAAUUUUUAACACCAAGAAUAUCGAUUAGCUCUACAUCAAUGAAAGAUUUAGUUGGACUAAACAGCUCAACUUCAUCCUCACAUUGAAUAAGUUCAUUAAGUGGUGUGAUCAAUUCUUGUGUCAGGUUUUUGUGGUCCUCACUGAUAUGUUCAACCUCAAAACUAUUGGGUUCGCUCUCU